UGGGGAAUAUUGCACAAUGGGCGAAAGCCUGAUGCAGCAACGCCGCGUGAGUGAUGAAGGCCUUCGGGUUGUAAAGCUCUGUCUUUUGGGACGAUAAUGACGGUACCAAAGGAGGAAGCCACGGCUAACUACGUGCCAGCAGCCGCGGUAAUACGUAGGUGGCAAGCGUUGUCCGGAUUUACUGGGCGUAAAGGAUGCGUAGGCGGAUUUUUAAGUGAGAUGUGAAAACCCUAAGCUUAACUUGGGGACUGCAUUUCAUACUGGAAAUCUAGAGUGCGGGAGAGGAGAAUGGAAUUCCUAGUGUAGCGGUGAAAUGCGUAGAGAUUAGGAAGAACACCAGUGGCGAAGGCGAUUCUCUGGACCGUAACUGACGCUGAGGCAUGAAAGCGUGGGUAGCAAACAGGAUUAGAUACCCUGGUAGUCCACGCCGUAAACGAUGAGUACUAGGUGUAGGAGGUAUCGACCCCCUUCUGUGCCGCAGUUAACACAAUAAGUACUCCGCCUGGGAAGUACGAUCGCAAGAUUAAAACUC
RNAcentral lists this ribosomal RNA (532 nucleotides) under uncultured bacterium. RNAcentral's name for it is "partial 16S ribosomal RNA". It matches the Rfam family "Bacterial small subunit ribosomal RNA", at positions 355 to 902 of the family's 1533-position model. The record is from RNAcentral.